GAGACAGCAGCAGCCGCGGUAAUACGUAGGUGGCAAGCGUUGUCCGGAAUUAUUGGGCGUAAAGGGCUCGCAGGCGGUUUCUUAAGUCUGAUGUGAAAGCCCCCGGCUCAACCGGGGAGGGUCAUUGGAAACUGGGAAACUUGAGUGCAGAAGAGGAGAGUGGAAUUCCACGUGUAGCGGUGAAAUGCGUAGAGAUGUGGAGGAACACCAGUGGCGAAGGCGACUCUCUGGUCUGUAACUGACGCUGAGGAGCGAAAGCGUGGGGAGCGAACAGGAUUAGAUACCCCUGUAGUCCCUGUCUCUUAUAC
This 308-nucleotide ribosomal RNA is filed under the name uncultured bacterium. RNAcentral's name for it is "partial 16S ribosomal RNA". It matches the Rfam family "Bacterial small subunit ribosomal RNA", at positions 505 to 807 of the family's 1533-position model. The record is from RNAcentral.